CAUCAAUGAGGCAGUUGUAGGCUUGAAUAUCAAGUUCACAUUUGAGUAUUCCCAAAGUACGAAAUAGUUCAACUGCCUCUACAAUAUAACCAUUCUUGCAAAGCCCGUCAAUAAAGGUGUUAUAUGUAGAGGUAUCAGCUGCCACGCCAUCGCGCUGCAUCUCUUCAAACAGUUUCAAAGCAUGCUCAACCUGGUGUAUCUCAAAAAGGCCAAGAAACAAAGUGUUAUAUGUAACAACCGUUGGCUUUAUUCCUUUAGAAACCAUUUCGCGAUAAAGACUUAACGCUUCCUCCACUUCCUUAUUCUUGCAGUACCCAUUUAUCAAAAUAUUGUAACUAACAUCAUCAUGUUUGCAACCCAUACUCUCCAUAGAACCAAAUAGUUCCUCCGCACGAUUAAUUUUACCCGUCAAGCAAAACCCAUCCAUUAAUGUGCUAUAGGUAAAAGCAUUUGGACGCACAUCACGCUGAACCAUCAGGUCCAACAACCUACUUGCUUCAUCCAUCUUUCCAUUUUUACAAAGCUCGUCCAUGAUCACAUUGAAGGUCACAACACUAGGCUGUACCCCUUGAUCCAUCAUCUCAAAAAACAAACGCUUUGCCUCAUUCCAAUCAUUAGCAUGACAUAAACCGUGAAUCAAAGAGUUAUAGGUAACCACAUCGGGGUUAAUGUUCUCAUCCUUCAUCUGCAGAAACAGUGCCUUGGCCUUGUCCACGAAACCUUCCUUACAAAGACCAUCGAUGAUAGUGUUGUAUGUAACAGUAUUUGGCUUACAAACGACACCAAUUUCCCCAUUUCCAUUAGCCAUCUCUUCAAAUAAAUUUAAAGCAACGAUUGUAUGGCCAGUUCGACACAAUCCAUUAAUUAAAGUACUGUACGUAAUGACAUUAGGCUCACAACCAAACGCUUUGAGUUUCGUAAACAAUGCGGCGGCCUCCAUGAUUCUACUCUCCGCACACAAACCUUUAAUCAAAGAAGUAAAGGUCACAGCAUCUGGAGUAAAACAAGACCUGAGGAUCCUCCCAAAAAUUACAAAACCAAGAGACACUUGACCCAUUUUGCAAAAGCAGUUAAUCAAGAUACUGUAAGUACAAAGAUUUGGAAACAACCCAGUUGAAUUGAGUCUCUUGAAGAGUAAAAGGACAGUAUCAUAAUGUUUAGUCUUAGCAAGACAACCAAACAAAAUAUUGAAGGAAGUCACAGGAGGCGGAGAAGGGUGCAUAUGGAGCAUGUAAUCAAAGAUACACAAGGCUUCAUUAGGAGUAAUAAGAUUAAUGUCACCUUGACCUGAUGGUUUGCACCUUUUUCUGAGGAAUGUUUCGAGUGAGGCUCGGUCUUUGACUGUCAGUCGUAGCGACUCCUUCAGUUUAGCUGUUGUAGUCAGAUACGAGGGUUCAUUUUUUGAAAAUGAAGUUGUGGGUUUUCUGGUAUGAGGGAAUGAAGAUGAGAAAUUACAUCUAAGAGCUGAUAUUGAAAUUGAAGUAAAAUAAAAUGAACGAUUUGAGGAUGCGAAAGCCAUCGGAGAGCUUCCGAUUAUUUGGGGUUGAAGAAGAAGAAAGUAAUUGCCAAAAUAGAUGACAAACUAUGAUGUAUCUCACUCAAAUAAUAAUUAAUUAUUAAAUUUUAUCGUUUCCAUUUCAAAAUGGUGAAAUUUAUUCAGUUGGCAUACAAACUAUAAAUAAAGGUGCCAAUUUUCUUACAUUAUCUGCAUUCUCAAACAUAUUAAAUUCCUAUAAUUAUUAAAUAAGUGAGGUUCCAUCACUCAAUUAAAAAUAAUUUAAUAAGUAAUAUUUAAAAUUUUGUAUGUAAUUAAGUGUUAAAAAACUGAUUUAUCAUUAUAAAAAUGAUCAUCAUUGUCAUUUGUGUUUGUUUCUAUUUUGUUGCUUUGUGAGAGUAGUCUAAUAUUUUUAGUGGGCAACUAAUACAGAUUACAAACUUAAAUUAGAAAAUCGAACAAAUUAUAAUUUUGCAAUACUUUUUAACAUAAAAUAAAUUUAGGGUGGAUGGCUAAUAAUUUCCUCCAUUGUAAAAAAAAAGAAGGAGAAUUCUUAAUUUCAUAUAGGAUCCACUCUCUAUAAAAUUAAUAAUUGGUAUCGAUUUAGAUCUCAUUUCUACUUUUUUUUUUAUUAUGUAGAAAGAUGAUUUUGUACCACCCCAAAUUUAAUUGGGCCUCAUGGAUAUUUUCUUUUUUAAAAUUAAAGACUUAUGAAUUGGGCUCUGUAAGCAAUUAAAUUUAAUUACUUUAAGUGGUGAAGUGAAAUAGUUAUGCCUUGUGCGUGCCGUCGGGGAUAGCUUCGGUGUUAUAUGCUAAAAUGUUUUGUUUAGCUUAUGUUUUUUGUUUUACUUUUUAUUUCUUAAUGUUUACGAACCUAUAUUUACUUAUUUAUUUAUUUGUUUUUAAAUUGUUAUCGAAUAAGAUAUAAUAUUGUGUUAAUUUAGCUAUAUCUAAAUUUUACAUUUUUUUUACUACUCACUACCAUUGCUAUAUUCAUGAGUUUUAUUUUUUUAAUUCAAUAUAUAUUAUUUCUCCCGAUUUCACGAAUUUUUCCGGAUUUACAGACUUAAAUCCUUUUCCAAUUCAUCUAAUACGCAAUUUUACAUUUUCACUCCAAUCCGAUCAUACUAUUCCACGGACCAUUUUUUCACUGAUCGAAUUUUUGCGGAUGGGCUACUUUGACCACCUCUAAUUGGAUUCUAAACACCCCUGGCUGUUGGUUUACAAGUGGGAAUCUAAGGUUAUUUCAAGCUACAAGACCCAAUUUCAACGGACUUACCUAAACGAUUGCUUUUAUACAACACAAUUUUUCCCCUAUUAUGAAACUAUUGUUUUUUAUUUUGCACUUGUUAAUGAAUAACAUGCCAUAUAAUUUCAUUAAUUUUUUUAUUAUUACAUUUUAAUUGGGCCUUAUUCUCUAAUACACUCAAUAUGUUAUAUUUUCUAUUAUUUGCAACAAUCAAUACGGAUUGUCACCGACACUUGUUACUAUCCACUGUCGAUGAUAUUUUUCUUUGUAUUUUUUCAUCUUUUAACUUAUCAUUCAUCUCAAUAAAGCCUCCAUUUCUUGGUUGAUGAUUAGCUAUUUUUUAAUUUUUAUUAUUACACAAUUUAUCAUUGGCACCAUCAUCAUUAUUGUCAUAUUUAUAAUAAUAAUAAUAAUAAUAAUAAUAAUAAUAAUAAUAAUAAUAAUAAUAAUAAUAGGGACCGGGAUCGUGGAAAGUGAUUUUUAAUGAAAGGAAUCAACAACACAGAUGCUUUACCAAAUAUUACACCUACUUUCCCUUGGCUCUGAUACCACGAUCUCGGUCCUUAUUGGUAUCAGAGCCAAGGGAAAGUAGGUGUAAUAUUUGGUAAAGCAUCUGUGUUGUUGAUUUUUUUCAUUAAAAAUCAGUGUGUUUGCUGAAUUUUUUACUGGUAGUAAGUCCCGUCUUAGGAUAAGAAUUUCCGCAUAGGGCAGUAAAACCAUACCUGUAGGCAUUCAUAUAGGUUUUAAUUUAAGUUUUAAAUUGCAUGGAUUCUCUACUGCAUAGAACAUCAUCUUUCUCUAGCUCUUCUUCUGAGAAGACUAGUGUUUCAAAGAACGUGGUGAAUUCAGAAGAAUUCAUUAUUGAAGAUUUUAAUAAAGCAAUUGAUAAUUGGGAUUUACCAAAGGUUUCUAAAGAUAAGAUUUAUAAAAUGAAAAAACUUGAUUUUCUAAAGACAGAUUGUGUAAUAAAGACAGAAGAAAGAGAUAUCACACUUUCAAAACCUUUUGAAACAAUUCACUUGUUCUCUAAAAAUUCUGUAAAGAAAUUAAAAGAAAAGAAUUUCAAUUAUAUUUAUAUCGGAUUAAUCCAAGUAGGCAUAAAACCCUUAACUAAAGAAUGAUUAAAUACUUCCAUUCUUGCUGUCCUCAGAGAUUGGAGGUUCAUCUCCUUUGAUGAUUCCUUACUCAGUAGUAUUGAAUCUAGUCUCUGUAAAGGACCCAUUUCUUUUUAUUGUUAUCCCAACAUAACUAUUUCUUUAAAAGACAAGAAUAUUUUGAAAAGCAUGAUUUUACAUAUCAAAACGCAUAAUUAUCACAUGUUAGAAGGAUCUGUUCCAGUUGCAUUAAUUUUCAAAAUAUCUUACAAAGCAAUGGUUUCAGCAUUUAAUACGCAGCAUAAAUUCCAGUAAAAAAGAGAUGAGACUCUUCUCUUGCAGACUGACAUGUCUAAAGCCAACACCGUUAUUCCAAAACCAAUCCAAUGGAAAGAUAUCACUCUUCCAGACGAAUGGAUUCUUGAAGGAGCCACUCAACCAGUAAUUCCGAAACAACUUGAGCCAAAUACAGAGUUACAAAAUGUGACUCAGUAUUCAGAUGGUAAAGUCAAACUAUCUUUUAAGAGAUCUACAUCCUCUAGAUUCUCCGAUAAAGAUUCAAGUUCCAGUAUUCCUCAUUUACAAAAGAAAUUUUCAAAAAUUCCCUCUGUUAUAAAUCUCCCUUUUCAACCUAUAAAUAGUCAACCUAGGUUUUCCACCUCGAACAUACCUAGCUCCUCCAUACAUGUUGUUGACUAUGCAACUAGUGUUCCCCAUCCUAUCUACACUGGUCGCCAAAGCCAGAAAGAGAAAGAACCUUCUCUUCAAACUUCUCCUACAUUUUCUGCUGUUACUGAAAAUGUAAUAAAUGUUCUUGAAAAAGAUUUUGAAUUGGAUAAAACUCUUUUACACAAUGAUUUUUAUUCCGAAGUUAAUAAAGAAAAAAGUCUUUGGUUUUUUAAACAUUUCUUAAACCAAAGAAAAGAAAUCUAACAAAUUUAUUAUGAAUUUGUAAAUCUGCAUAAAGUUCACAUAUUGUUUUUUGAUUGGUUUGAUAUUUAUGUCUCGGAAAAUAACAUUUCCUAUCCUUUUAAAGAAUCAAAUCCCAUUACUGUCAGAAAGAAAACUGCUGAAUGGAACCUUUCUGGUAGUGGAAGAAUCAUAGAGUCUGAACAUCCACCUCUUAGGAGCCUGACCAUUGAGCAUGGUGAACCUCCUAUUGAGAUAAAAGUCUCACCCUAUAAGGUCCAUAAAGAUCCAGAAACGGAUUUAGAUAGCAUUAUCCAACAGAACAAUUUCUGUAAUGCUAAUCUAAAUACGAUAGGAAAACAGUUGACCCGUAUAGAAAGUCAAUUUCAAAAGUCAACCGUUAUUGUCCCAUCGUCUACUCCCUCCAAGUCUGAUUCCUUGAAAAAGCUUAAAGAACCUAUUUUCAAACCUUUCCAGGUUUCGAAACAUAGCCAAAAGCUUGUUCAAAAAUCCAAAUCAGAUUUUGCACAAGCCAUCAAAGAACAACUUGAUAGAAUAGAAGCAUCUUCUUCUUUCACUUCUACUUCUAAAGUCCAAAUUGCUCAUGAUAGUGCUCAAUCUAGCAAAAUUGGCGUACUAGAACAGGAUCAAUCUUCUAUAGCCUCUGCUGACAUAGAAGCUUUCAAAGAUGAGUCUAUCCCUAAAGCCAAUAAAAUCCAUUGGGAACUUGCUCUCCCAACUGUAAGAACUCCUCCAGACCUUGCCAUCGAUAAUAGACCAAGUGCAUUAAACCAAUCUCGUUUUAAUGCAUCCUCUGUCUAUGAAUGAAAUAUUGAUGGUAUGUCUGAAUACAAUAUCCUAGGAUUGUUGCAGCAAAUGACCAUGCCAGCCAAUGCCUAUAAAACUCAACAAGGAACUUCUGACAAAGCCAUUGCAGAAAUUCUCAUUGCUGGUUUUACCGGUCAACUAAAAGGUUGGUGGGACCAUCUUCUCACUAAUCAGCAACAACUAGACAUCCUAAAUUCUAUUCAAGUAGACGAAAAUGGAGCCCCCAUUCUCAAUGAAUUCAAUAGUCCUAUUCAGGAUGCUGUUGCUACCCUGAUUUUGACUAUUUCUCUUUAUUUCAUAGGUGACCCUUCUCACCUAAAAGAUAAAAAUGCUGAGUUACUACAUAACUUUAGAUGUAGGAAACUUAGUGAAUUCCAGAGUUACAAAACCACUUUCUUUACCAGACUCUUCCUUAGGUAUGAUGCAAAUCAUACAACCUGGAAGGAAAAUUUCCUUGCAGGCUAGCCUACCCUAUUGGGAGAAAAUGUUAGAAAUUCCAUCAAAGCCCUUUAUGAUAAUCGCAUUCCUUAUGACGAGCUCACCUAUGGUGAACUAGUCAGUUUUGUCAAUAAAGAAGGUUUAAAGAUCUGUCAAUAUUUGAAAUUACAGAAACGGCUAAAAUAGGAGCUUAGAAAGUCUAAGCAAGAAUUAUGCAGUUUAUGUAAACAAUUCAACUAUGACUCCUUUAAAACUUCUACUUCAAAAGAUUGUAAUGGUAAAUGUUCUUCUAAACCUUACAAAAAACAUUACAAGUCUAGAAGUCAUAAAUACCAACAACCUUCAAGAAAUUUUAGAGAACCUUUUUAUAAGAAGUCCUCGAGACCCUAUAAAAAACCUCAUUUCUCUAAAAGAAAAGACUCCAAAGCCAAAACAUCUUCCUCUUUUAAACCAAAAACCUCUUUUAAUUAUAAAGAAGCUACAUGUUUUAAAUGUGGCAAGAAAGGACAUACUGUAAAAUAUUGCAGGAUAAACAGAAGACUUUAAGAAAUUGAUCUUGAUGAAGAAGUCCUUUCCAAAAUAGCUCCUCUGCUCGUUGAGUCUUCUGACUCUGAUUCAAAUUCUUCUCUGUCGGGAAAUAGUGAUCCUUUAUAGGUUGAUGAGUUGAUUGACUCAGAAACAUCUGUAUCAAGCAGUUCUGAUUCAGAAACUUUUUUAAAGAAGAUUAAUGUUUUGACUAAAGAACAAUAAACUUUUCUCGAACUUGUAAAGCAUAUUUCUGACCCCAUCCUCCAGAAGGAAUACCUUGACAAACUGCUAAAAACUCUAGAACCAAAAGACAAGCCAGAAACUUCUAAAGUCCCGAUUAUUAAAAAGAAUACUUAUGACCUUACGGAAAUUUUGGGAAAAAAGAAGACAGAAAAUGAUAACUCCCAAUAUCCAAGACCUUCAAAAGGAAAUUAAAGAAAUCAAAAAUGAAAUUAAAGAAUUAAAAGAGAAGCAGAAAAAUAACUCAGAAACAAUCCAGCUUUUAUUGCAAAAACAACUGGAAGACAAUUCUGAUAAAGAAUCAAACUCUGGUGAAGAAAAUGAACAACAACUUGAAAACAUUGAAUCUAUCCCCAAUGAUUUUCUUUUCAUUUUAAAACAAAUCACCACGAGAAAAUGCUUUAUCAAAAUCACUUUAAAAUUCUCUAAAGAUUUUGAAAUUGACACCAUUGCCCUUUUUGACACUGGUGCUGAUUUAAAUUGUAUAAAAGCAGACAUAGUUCCAAGGAAAUUUCAUGAAAAGACUAAUGAAAGGCUUUCAGCUGCAAAUAAUUCAAAAUUGAACAUCAAAUCCAAAGUUGAUGCCUCAAUUCACAACAAUAGUUUUGAAUUCAAGACUACCUUUCUAUUAACAAAUGAUAUUCAUCAUGCUGUUAUUUUGGGAACUCCGAACUCCUUUUAUAAAUCUUAUUACUCCCUAUACUGUCAAUUACGAUAGUAUAUCUUUUAAAGCAAAAAAGAACAAAUUAAUUUUCCCUUUUAUUGAAAAACCCAAAACCAGAAAUUUAAAUAUUGUUAAAGCCUGUUCUGUUUACCAGAACCAAAUAAAUGUUUUGCUUAAAACAAAACAAACCGAUUUAGCCUGUUUACAAAGACUUGAAAUCCAAUUGCAAAAUGGACAUAUACAAAGAAAAAUUUAUGAUCUCAAAACUCUAAUUGAAAAGGAAAUAUGUGCUGAUUUACCAAGUGCUUUUUGGAACCGAAAACAACAUUUGGUAGAUUUACCUUAUGAAAAUUCCUUUGAUGAAAAAUAAAUACCCACUAAAGCUCGUCCUAUCCAAAUGAACAUGGAUUUGGAAAGACAUUGUAAAAAUGAAAUCCAAGAUUUAGAGUCCAAAGGACUCAUUGUAAAAUCUAAAUCUCCGUGGUCUUGUGCCGCUUUCUACAUCAAUAAAAACUCUGAAAUAGAAAGAGGGACACCCAGACUUGUAAUAAAUUACAAGCCCUUGAAUAAAGCAUUAAAAUGGAUCAGGUAUCCCAUACCUAAUAAAAAAGAUUUGCUCCAAAAACUACACUCUGCAUUCAUAUUUUCAAAAUUUGACAUGAAAUCUGGUUUUUGGCAAAUGCAAAUUCAUCCUAAAGACCGUUAUAAAACCGCUUUCACUGUUCUAUUUGGACAGUACGAAUAGAUAGUAAUGCCUUUUGGUUUGAAAAAUGCACCUUCAGAAUUUCAAAGAAUUAUGAACAAUAUUUAUAAUCCUUUUUCUGAUUUUUGCAUUGUUUAUAUAGAUGAUGUGUUGAUCUUCUCUCAAUCAAUUGAACAACACUUCAAACAUUUAAAGACUUUUUAUCUGGCUACUAUGAAGGCUGGUCUAGCCAUCUCUAGUUCUAAAAUCUCUUUAUUCCAAACUAAAGUUUGGUUUCUUGGUCAUUACAUUUCCAAAGGAACCAUCACUCCCAUAAAAAGGUCACUUGCCUUCACUGACAAGUUUCCUAAUAAAAUCCUUGAUAAAACCCAAUUACAAAGAUUUUUGGGCAGUUUAAAUUAUGUUCUUGAUUUUUGUCCUAAUAUCAAUAGGAUUGCCAAACCAUUGCAUGAUAGAUUAAAGAAAACUCUUGUUGCAUGGUCAGAAGAACAUACAAAAAUUGUUAAACACAUAAAGAUCAUAGUUAAAAACAUUCCAUGUUUAUUUCUUGCAAAUCCUGCAUCGCCUAAAAUUGUUGAGACUGAUGCAUCAGACCAAGGUUAUGGUGAGAUAUUAAAGCAAGUUGAUCAUAAUAAAGAACAGAUAGUACAAUAUGUUUCCGCACAUUGGAAUGAAUGCCAGAAAAAUUAUUCUACUAUUAAAAAGGAAAUUUUAUCCAUUGUUUUAUGCAUUUCCAAAUUUCAAAGCGAUUUAUUAAAUCAAAAGUUCCUGUUUAGAAUUGAUUGCAAAGCUGCAAAACACGUUUUGGAAAAAAAUGUUCAAAACAUUACAUCUAAACAGAUUUUUGCACGUUGGCAAGCUAUUUUAAGUGUUUUUGAUUUUGAUAUUGAAUUUAUUAAAGGAGAUACAAAUUCUCUCCCUGACUUUCUAACUAGGGAAUUUCUCCAAAACAUAUAAUGCCGCCCAAAAGAAGAGAUAAAGGGAAAUGGAUCCUCACAGAACCCAUAUCCAAAACAACCCCUAAAGCCUCCCAAUCCUCUCCUCCUAAAGAAAAAUUACUUUCUUCAGCAAUGCCCAUAAAGUCUUGGAUUGACGCUAUUGAAGACCAAGAAGCCCAAUCCAAAGCCCUUGCUUCCCAGGAACAAGUAAAUGAAUGGAUGAAAUCCAUUUCUAAAUCCCCUGAGCUUAUGCUCGCCUUACAAAGUUUUUCUCAAAGUCAGAUUUCUCCUAAAGAAGAAAAACCUAUUUCAAAAGAAACUUCUAAAACUUCUUCAAAAAAUGUGGUUCUUUCUAGUGAAAGUUCAUCUUCUCAAAUUGUUCUUUCACAAACUAAGUUUCCAAAGAAAACUUCGGAUUGGUAUGAUAAAACAUAUUUCCAAAAUAUUUUAUCCAUAAAAGAUGGUUUUUACCACACUAAUCAUUUUCAAGCAAUUUCAAAAAUUUUCCCCAUCGAUUGGUUUUUCAAACCUUGGGAUUUGACAAAACCCCAAUCUUAUUACCAAAGCAUUUUGGAGUCUACUGAGUCUGUCAAAUUCAAACACUUCUUCCUCAGUGAAGCCCAUACAGAACCAGCUUACUCCACAGCCACCAUUUUAAAAAUUUUGAGCCCAAAACAGUGGGGAGACCAACUUCAUAAACUAAAGCCCUUCCCCGCAAAUUUCCAAAUGCGUUUACCUCAUUGCCUGUCAUAUUCCUAUUGGGAUUACCAACAGGCCUGGUUUAACACAUUUUUUAUAUAAAACCCUAAAAAGACUCAUUCAUGGUUAUUUUUCUUCAAUUCAAAAAUAACCGUCCAAAGUCUUCCAAACUGGUUCCAACAGUGGUGGAACUAUUUUGGGCCAAGCCCGGAUAUUCUUACUCCAAAUGCCAUCCACUGUUUAAAUCUCUUUAAAACUCAUUAUGUCCCUACAAAAUCCGAGAGACAGUUUCCUCUUUUCCUCUGUUUCUGUACAAAUUUCUUUCUUCCAUGGGUAUGGAUGUGGAAUCUUCGAUAUCACACCCAAGAAGCCCAACUCAUCCUACAAAGAACCUUUAAAAUCAAAUAGUGGUCAAAAUUUGAUGAACAGUCAAAAUUGACCGAAGCCAUUGUUCGUACAUGGCUCUCCUCAAGAGGCCUUCUUACCCCAAGCAUUAAAGACAUUAAAACCCAAGGAACCUUCCUUACCCAAAAAUCCAAAGCCCAAUCUCUUUUGGCCAGUGCCAAAACAGAAACAUAAUAUUUUAAAGUCAUGGAACAGCUUCUCACAUCAAGAUCAGAGCCAUCGGUUGCAAGUUCCGGAUCAAGCUCUUCUGGUGAAGUUGAGCCGUUCAUUUCCCUUGGGGAUGAAAAUGAAGAUGAUUGCUUCGGCAUUUUUCCCCCUGUAAAGCAUUCUUAAAGAAUUUGUAAAAUAAAAAAAAAAUACUAAUUUUCAAUUUUUCCUCUGUAUUUAUCACAUGUAUUCAAUUCCUGUAGAAUUCUAUGUAAUUUCUAUUGUAUUGCCCCUUUGUAAAAAUUACUUUAUACUUGUAUUAUUUUGGGUGGUCCCAUGGACACAAGUGAGAGCGCACAUGUCUCUUCACCCGAAAUUUCCUCUUCUUUAUUUUUAUGUAAUUUUAUGCAUUUCUCUUGUAAAGCCACUGUUUCAAGCUACAGUUUCGCUACAGUCAUGAAGCUACAAUUUCGCUACAGUUGUGAAGCUACAGACUCGCUACAGUUAAAGACCCACUCUUUGUAUUUAAAUCAGGAGGAAGACUUAGACUCCUCAGAUUUUUCAUUUUGGAGAAUUCCACUUCUCUCUUCCUUCUUCUCUCUUUCUCUGGGAAUCAGGAAUCGGAAGACAACAAGGAAUUUUUCUUGUCUUCAGAUUAAUUUCCCAUUUCUUCUGUAAUAUUUCUCUUUAAAGAAGAACAAAGCAAGAAAAAUCAAAUGUAAGAUUUGUAAUUUCUUUUAAAGUUUGUAAUAAAUUUAAAUUUCUGUAUGUUUAAAUUUCUGCAGUUUAAUUUCCGCAAUUUGAUUUAAAGCAUUUAAAUUUCAGUAAUUUAAAAUUUUAUGCAUGCUUUGCAGACUGAUCUAUAUCAGAUCUGCCAUAUAAAUUGUUACGUUCCUCAGAAGCAAAGAGAUCGGAUCUCUGUCUUCUGUUGUAUCUUCUCUUCUCCCUCCAACCAUUCAGAGUAUUAUUUCUGGGAUCCAGAUCUAAUACUGUCUAUGAGCCUUUAGAUCUGUUGCUAGGCUUGCUAAAGAAUAAUUUUUUUUUUAAAAAAGAAUUUUGGUAUAUAGGCUGGAAAAUAGAACGUGCGGAAUAUUGAUAUGUUCUAAGUCAGAUCUGGUUCCAAAGGUAGAUUAAGUUCUGCAUCGAUCUGGUCACAACGCCACGUACUAAUAAAAAUUGAUCUGUUCUAAGUCAGAUCUGGUUCCAAAGGCAGAUUAAGUUCUGAAUCGAUCUGGUCACAACGCCACGUACUAAUAAAAAUUUGCGUUUGAGAUCAUUAAAUUUAUAUUCUGCUUAAAACACAUCCGUCCUUUGUUCAUUAAAAUCUUUAAUAUUGUCAUCUCCUUGGACAUUCACACACUUUCCACUUUUGAUUUAAUAAAUCGCUUUGAAAUUUGGAAAUGCAUAAAACAAUGGAUAAAAUUUCCUUUUUAAUAGUAGAAUAAUUUUUCUGGCAUUCAUUUCAAUGUGCAGAAAUAUAUUGUACUAUCUGUUAUUAUUAUUAUUAUUAUUUCUUGAAUGACGUGGCCUACUAUUUCAACUACAUGCAUAAAAAUUAAAUUAACUCUUACUUCAAAUCUCAGGAUUAGGGAAUUUUCCCCUUUUUUCCCCCGCCAAUUACUUUUCCCCAAUUUUCCAUUUCCGCCAAACACCUCAACCCAGACUUGCACGCUUCCACCAAAUUGUUUUGAACCAUUACUUGCAUCCACUUGGCGUUUGUUUCAAUACAUGUCUUCGUAACUCACGUGGCAACCAUUGAAUGGCUACUUUUGUCAACUUCUUUUUCACCUCUAUGUUACCGGGCCCUUACCUUCUUCUCCGGUUAAAUGCAAUCCACUCUGUGUCACUUCUUCAACCGUGGGAUUAUAUCCAAUGGCUGAUUCACUAUAGGACAAGCGACUGGGGUACCAAACCCCUGACGUAAAUUAGCUAUGCCCUUCUUUUGAAGCUUCUCGAGUUUCAUAAUUUUUUGCUGUUACACCGAAACUCUGAAGUUUGAACUUUGAAAUUGAUAAUUUUAGUUACAUUUGAUGUAUUGAUCAAAACAAAUGAAAAUUUGUAUAUCCGUGUGUUAUAAUUGGAAAUUUUGAAUGUAUUAUCGUAGCUUAAUAUUAAUUAAUAUCUUGUUCAAUUUUGAUUUUAACUGGUAGUAAAGUUAAUUUUACAUUAGAAAAUUUAAUUUAAAAAAUAAAAUAUGAAUGAGAUAUUUGUUUAUAUAAUUACUGCGUAGAUUGGAUGAAAAAAAAAAUUGCAUCUACAAAUCAAUCCGGCAAACGAUGGAUUACAUAUGGAUUGGGUCUUAUUUGCAUCUGAUCCGUAAAAAUAUGAAUUGGAUUUCGAUUCAGUUUCAGUAAUCAGUGGAUUUAAAUACAUAAGAUGGUCUCUGUUUAAAGAAACAUGAAAAACUUAGUCUUGUGUAUGGUUUUGUCCAAAUCACAGCUGCUUUGUAGUUUUGAGCAGCAUAGUAGCAGAAUGAAGAUUUCUAGCUUCAGAUCGUCAGAAUUCUUUUCAUCAACCAGUCCCAGAUGAGGUUAACAAUGCCCUGCCUCUCUCAGCUAGCUUCAGGCUCUUACUAAAUUGGUGUGCACUCUGACAAAAUAAAUAAGAAGAACACGAUCCAAAUCUUGUGUUAGUUUCUAUAUGCCUUGAUCUAAUAAAUCAAGCACAAGAAUACUGCAGUUCAAAUGCUGGUUAGUGUUAGCUCCAACAGUUUUUGCAUUUCAGAAUCAUACUAUUUACCAAUGCAAAAAUGAUAAGCAGGAGGACAUGUUUUUCUCAAUUACUGAAGUACACAUAACAAACUAUUUUCAGCACAAAAUACAAUCUUCCAUUUAAACAGUAUAGGGGGCAUUGAAUGACUUGAAGUUUCAUAUAAAGGCUGGAUUUUUUUAUUUUAGCAAGAAGAGUGUCAAACCUGUGUUCAAGAUUGAAGAGAUUGAAUAUCCCUAUGAUUCACCAUUUGUUAACAAAUGGCAGAAAAGUGAAAAUGGCAAAAAAGUGAAGUUUCAUAUAAAGGCUGGAUUUUGUUAUUUUAGCAAGAAGAGUGUCAAACCUAUGUUCAGGAUUGAAGAGAUUGAAUAUCCCUAUGAUUCACCAUUUGUUAACAAAUGGCAGAAAAGUGAAGCCAGCAGGCCCAGCACACACCCAUUCGAAAUUGAAAAAUGCAAAUCAUUGUUCCUUACAUCAAUAUGAUAGAAUGUUUGGAGCUUAAAUCAUUAAAAAUCAAAUGAUUACAAACGGAGGAUUAUUCUAAAAAGUAUUUUAGAACCAAGAAAAUUGCAAACAUAGCUAGCAAGUAUAUAGCUACAAAAAGGUAUUCCACUUCAGGUUAAUAAUGAUUGCAGGCGAGAAGUUUUAGGAUAAAUAGUAAGUUCAUUGCAAAGAACCAAAAAAAAUGGGGAGCCGAAUCUCCAGUCUAGGAAAAUAUACAUGGGAGCAUUAAAAAAUGACAAUAAGAGUUAAUAUCUAAACUAUAACUUACCAAUAAACUCUAAAGAUCCCUGAAAAUGUAGAGCAAGAUAAACUGCAUACCACUAAAACAGAUCUACAAGAUCCACACUUGAUACUAGAUGCAUAUCUAAACCCUCAAAAAUCCACAAUUCUUAUCAAGCCAUGCACGCAGAGGCACAUUUGAACUAUCAUCCACACAAGAAAAUCAAACCUCUUCCUUCAAUUCUCAUCCGAUUUGAAUACAAGUCCGUCCACGUUUGUAUGACCCAACAAAUAUCCAAAACAGAAAGAAAAUGAAGAAGAAAAAGAAGCAUAGACCUUCAACACAAUUGGAUUGAGAAGAUGACGAGAAAUGAUGUACAAAAUCAAUGGUUUCCCCAUCAUGUUUCAAAUAUAACGCAGAGUAAUCACAAAUUGCUUACUCUUUACUAAAAGGAAACUCUAAAACAGUUCCAAGAAAAAAUUGUAGUUCCACUCUUACUUAAAGAUAUGAAUAAAGAAUUGAACUCAAACUAGGUUGCUCCUGAAGGUUUUCAACUAAAACUUUCCUCUGACUCAAAGUCAUGCGAAAGGAUAUUCCCUUCCCCUCUGUGAAACUUCAGUUUAAUGCUUUCAAUUAGAUCUUCAUACUCCAAAGGGUAGCUGUUAUACAGAAUUAGAUCAAUUAAAUAUUUGCCAAUAUCUCACUACUCCCACAUCCAUAUAGGCCCAACAGUGCACAACACUACAACAUUUUACUCACUAUGCUCAUAAACCAUCAACAAAACCUCAAAAUAACAGUAGGUUCUUUUAUACAAAAUGGUUGACCUAGACAUCACUGUCAUGAUUUUUGCCAGUGAACUGCCAAAGGUACCAGAAAUUACCUUAUUCAAUAAUGACAUAUUCAAACAAACCAGUCACAAGGAUAUGAGAUGGAGGAAAUAUGAAACUUGACAGCACUACAACAUUUCACCUACUAUGUUAAAAAAAUCCUGCCUUUUCAUGCCUAUACACUAAUUAUUAAUCUGAUGUCUAUUGAUUCACAUAUAUUUCUCUAUCAAAAUCUAAAUCACCUGAUGAAGGUUUCCUUCUAUCAGUUGCAUAAUUACUAACAUAUCAAUUUUCAUAACAUAACAUAUUCCCAAUUUCUACUUCUUCCUCCCAAUUUCUAUUUUACAACCAAACCUAACAUUCUAUGCCUAUUUUUACUUGUUCAUGCGUACCCAAUCAAUUACCGUCUACUAUUUAUACACAUGGACUCAAAUUAAGAGCCACAUAUAAAUAUUCACAGUCAAUACAUACCUCAAUGUCGUAUUAAGGCUCCCGCAGACAACUGAUUGCUACGAAAUUGCGAGCAAAUAUGACCUCCAAAUAUAACUCUCCACAGAAUUCGCUACAGUUUAUCUCUGCUCACUUCACUCCAGCACCACUCAAAUGGUUGUAUUUUAACCUACAUGACAGCAAAUGACGACAACUUCUAACCUAACGGCGUAACUUAUUCAUCAAUUAAAUCCCCAGUUUGCGCCACAAUACCCGUAAUCUGCUUUCUACCCACUGACCCUCUAAUUCAAUAAUUUUUUUUCCAAACCCCGAGCUAAGAAAACUAACUGACCCACUAAUUCAAGCUUCUAAAAACAGUACGAAUAUCACUGCACACUUCAGCCGUGGGGAGAAAGACGUUCAUUACCAUUUCUUUUUUGUUUUACUGGUACUAUUCUUCUACCCGGUUACCCAUUUUCAAACUGUUAAAUCUCAACCGUCAAGUGUAUUUGCUACCAAUCUAAAGGCUUAUUCGCUAUAGGACAAAAGACUGGGGUACCAAACCCCUGACGCAAAAUAGCUGGACCCUUCCAGCUAAUAAGAAAGAGACACCACAAAAGGAAAAAUCAUGAAUUUAAUAAUAAAUAGGUAAGUUUACAAUAAAAAAUGGUCAGACAUAAAACUUAUCUGAUGAAACAACAGUUUUGGAAGUGUCAGCCAUGUCUGAGAAAAAAAUCGAUGAACAGCACCUGUUAAAAUGCCAUCACAAUUCAACACGCCUCCACGUUCAGUUAUACAAAUGGGAUUCUAAAUUUCAGGAAUUACACUGAAAUGAGAGGCUGCUAUUUGACAUUCAACCAGUCAACUUCCUUCUGUUGUUCUUGGACAGGAAAUGAUGGAAGCGAGUUCAAACAAAUUUCAUUCUUUACAAGUAAGUCCACAACGAUUGAAACUACAGAUGCAUCUGGCAUCACUUUCUUCUCCUUCAUCUUGUGAAGAAGUUCAAUAACUUUUGAUGUCCCAUUAUUUCGAAUGAAACCCACCAUAAGUGUAUUAAAUAUGACAGAAUUGGGUGCCACACCCUUUGCGUCCAUAUCAAGCAAUAAAUCAUAGGCCUUAUCCAUUUGCCCACCAUUACAAAGCCCAUGGAUCAUGAUGUUAUAUGUGACAACAUUUGGCAUUAAGCCUUCGUGUAGCAAUCUCUGAAAAAGUUCCCAUACAACUUCGAGUUGUCCGGAUUUACAUAAUCCAUCAAUGAGGCAGUUGUAGGCUCCAAUAUUAAGUUCGCACUUGAGAUUUUUCAAAGUAUGAAAUAGUUCAACUGCCUCUAGAACAAAACCAUUCUUGCAGAGUCCGUCAACAAGAGUAGCAUAUGUAAUUGAAUCAGGCACGACACCGUUGAGCUGCAUCUCAUCGAAAAGUUUCAAAGCCUUUUCAACCUGACCUAUAUGAAAAAGUCCAAGAAACAAGGCGUUGAAUGUAACCACUGUUGGCUUAAUUCCUUUACGAAACAUUUCUCUGUAAAGACUUAGAGCUUCCACUACUUUAUUAUCCUUGCAGUAACCAUUUAUCAAAAUACCGUAACUGAAACCAUCAUGUUUGCAACCCAUACUCUCCAUAGAAACAAAUAGUUCCUUUGCACAAUUAAUUCUACCCGUCAAGCAAAACCCAUCCAUUAAUGUGCUAUAGGUAAAAGCAUCUUGCUUCGUUCAUCUUCCCAUUCUUGCAAAGGUCAUCUAUGAAUAUGUUCAACUGAAGUGACAAUUGACAAGCUACAUCUAUUUUAGAGAGGUAUGCAAAGAGAAGACUAGAAGACUAGAAAUGUUUUCGCUUAUUCUUUGAAGCAUUACAUGAUCCAAAACGACAAGCAUGGAUCAAAAAACAUGACAACUCACAGAUUCUCAUAUUGGGUUGCUAAUACCUUACCAAUCAAAGGAAGUGACAAGUUGAUUCAACUGCUAAGAACUUAAAUCCAUGCCAUGUGUGAGAGGGAACAAGAGAUUUCGCAAUUGAAGUUCGCUCACAGCAGGUUGAUUCCAGAAGAAACAUAAGCCCUAGGCCCUAGCAGCAUGGAGAAUGAAUCAUUUCAAAGAAGAGACAUUCACUGUAAGUUUACAACAAUUUAUAUAAGGUUUUUUUAAUUAUACAAACUCGCAGCUGCAAAAGGUAAAUAUGCGAAGAGCACAGCAAGGAUAAAAUAUGCUGUAAAUUCAAAGCACAAAUGACAAUCAAGUACCAAUAAAGUGACAAGCUGCAACUACUUCAUUAGCUUCUAAAGUGAUGGAUCAUUAAGAGAGAACAAGACAGAGGGUGUCUUUACAGUUUGUCGUGGCCAUUCAAUGGAAGCACUAUAGUAAAUAACAAGUUGAAAAACAUGAUACAUAUUUAAUUUGGCAUCAACAGCCAUGUACAGUCGGUGAUCACAUAUGCUAGCUUAUCCAGAUCAGGAUUUGUAAUAUGAGUGGUAUUCUCCAGACCACAACAACAACCAGAAUCCAUGAACCAGAGAGAACAUGCUGUCACCAGGUGAAGUCAUUUUGCAACACAAAUGAGAUGCUCCAGAUCAGGAUUUUAGGCUAACACAUGCUGCUGCUACUUGACAUUUGACUCACCAACUUCCCCCUGUCGCUCUUGGACAAGAAAUGACAGAAGUGACUUCAGACUAAUUUCAUUCUUUACUAGUAAGUCCACAACGAUUGAAACUAUAGAUGCAUCAUUACUUUUUUCUCCUUCAUCUUGUGAAGAAGUUCAAUAACUUUUGAUGGCUCAUUGAUUCGGAUAAAACCAUGGAUAAGCAUAUCAAAUGUGAUGACAUCGGGCACCACAGCAUUUUCUUCCAUGUCAAGAAAUAAAUCGUGUGCCUUAUCCAUUUGGCCAUCAUUACAAAGCCCUUGGAUCAUGAUGUUGUAUGUUACAACAUUUGGCACUAGGACUCCACGAGGCAAACUACGAAACAGUUCCAAUGCAAUUUCGAGUCUGCCGGAUUUACAUAAUCCAUCAAUGAGGCAGCUGUAUGCUUGAAUAUCAAGUUCACACUUGAGAAUUCUCAAAGUACGAAAUAAUUCAACUGACUCUACAAUAUAACCAUUCUUGCAAAGCCCGUCGAUAAAGAUAGUAUAUGUACGGGUAUCAGCUGCCGCGCCAGCACGCUGCAUCUCAUCAAACAGUUUUAAAGCAUGCUCAACCUGGUGUAUCUCAAAAAGGCCAAGAAACAAAGUGUUAUAUGUAACAACCGUUGGUUUUAUUCCUUUAGAAACC
This 18284-nucleotide long non-coding RNA is filed under the name Citrus maxima (pomelo). Its description in RNAcentral is "long non-coding RNA (CMAX_LNC003356)". Lineage: Eukaryota; Viridiplantae; Streptophyta; Magnoliopsida; Sapindales; Rutaceae. The record is from RNAcentral.